Molecule: ribosomal RNA, 804 nt
Filed under: Staphylococcus aureus
Lineage: Bacteria; Bacillati; Bacillota; Bacilli; Caryophanales; Staphylococcaceae
Description: bacterial SSU rRNA
Rfam family: Bacterial small subunit ribosomal RNA
Source: RNAcentral
AGUUUGAUCCUGGCUCAGGAUGAACGCUGGCGGCGUGCCUAAUACAUGCAAGUCGAGCGAACGGACGAGAAGCUUGCUUCUCUGAUGUUAGCGGCGGACGGGUGAGUAACACGUGGAUAACCUACCUAUAAGACUGGGAUAACUUCGGGAAACCGGAGCUAAUACCGGAUAAUAUUUUGAACCGCAUGRUUCAAAAGUGAAAGRCGGUCUUGCUGUCACUUAUAGAUGGAUCCGCGCUGCAUUAGCUAGUUGGUAAGGUAACGGCUUACCAAGGCAACGAUGCAUAGCCGACCUGAGAGGGUGAUCGGCCACACUGGAACUGAGACACGGUCCAGACUCCUACGGGAGGCAGCAGUAGGGAAUCUUCCGCAAUGGGCGAAAGCCUGACGGAGCAACGCCGCGUGAGUGAUGAAGGUCUUCGGAUCGUAAAACUCUGUUAUUAGGGAAGAABAUAUGUGUAAGUAACUGUGCACAUCUUGACGGUACCUARUCAGAAAGCCACGGCUAACUACGUGCCAGCAGCCGCGGUAAUACGUAGGUGGCAAGCGUUAUCCGGAAUUAUUGGGCGUAAAGCGCGCGUAGGCGGUUUUUUAAGUCUGAUGUGAAAGCCCACGRCUCAACCGUGGAGGGUCAUUGGAAACUGGAAAACUUGAGUGCAGAAGAGGAAAGUGGAAUUCCAUGUGUAGCGGUGAAAUGCGCAGAGAUAUGGAGGAACACCAGUGGCGAAGGCGACUUUCUGGUCUGUAACUGACGCUGAUGUGCGAAAGCGUGGGGAUCAAACAGGAUUAGAUACCCUGGUAGUCC